AGGAUUAGAUACCCUGGUAGUCCACGCUGUAAACGAUGUCGAUUUGGAGGUUGUUCCCUUGAGGAGUGGCUUCCGAAGCUAACGCGUUAAAUCGACCGCUGGGGAGUACGGCCGCAAGGUUAAAACUCAAAUGAAUUGACGGGGGCCCGCACAAGCGGUGGAGCAUGUGGUUUAAUUCGAUGCAACGCGAAGAACCUUACCUACUCUUGACAUCCAGAGAAUUUAGCAGAGAUGCUUUAGUGCCUUCGGGAACUCUGAGACAGGUGCUGCAUGGCUGUCGUCAGCUCGUGUUGUGAAAUGUUGGGUUAAGUCCCGCAACGAGCGCAACCCUUAUCCUUUGUUGCCAGCACGUUAUGGUGGGAACUCAAAGGAGACUGCUGGUGAUAAACCGGAGGAAGGUGGGGAUGACGUCAAGUCAUCAUGGCCCUUACGAGUAGGGCUACACACGUGCUACAAUGGCGUAUACAAAGAGAAGCGACCUCGCGAGAGCAAGCGGAACUCAUAAAGUACGUCGUAGUCCGGAUUGGAGUCUGCAACUCGACUCCAUGAAGUCGGAAUCGCUAGUAAUCGUAGAUCAGAAUGCUACGGUGAAUACGUUCUCGGGCCUUGUACACACCGCCCGUCACACCAUGGGAGUGGGUUGCAAAAGAAGUAGGUAGCUUAACCUUCGGGAGGGCGCUUACCACUUUGUGAUUCAUGACUGGGGUGAAGUCGUAACAAGGUAACCA
This 728-nucleotide ribosomal RNA is filed under the name uncultured Providencia sp. RNAcentral describes it as "bacterial SSU rRNA". It matches the Rfam family "Bacterial small subunit ribosomal RNA", at positions 774 to 1502 of the family's 1533-position model. The record is from RNAcentral. Lineage: Bacteria; Pseudomonadati; Pseudomonadota; Gammaproteobacteria; Enterobacterales; Morganellaceae.